This is a long non-coding RNA of Amblyraja radiata (thorny skate), 85 nucleotides long. RefSeq lists it as uncharacterized. The record is from RefSeq and is a predicted model, not a curated record. NCBI's taxonomy places the organism in Eukaryota, Metazoa, Chordata, Chondrichthyes, Rajiformes, Rajidae. The transcript has 3 exons.
ACAGACGUGUUAUUGCUCUUUCCCGAUUCUGUGGGUGGUGGUGCAUGGCCGUUCUUAGUUGGUAGAGCCAUUUGUCUGGUUAAUU